UACGUAGGGUGCAAGCGUUGUCCGGAAUUACUGGGCGUAAAGAGCUCGUAGGUGGUUUGUCGCGUUGUCCGUGAAAACUCACAGCUUAACUGUGGGCGUGCGGGCGAUACGGGCAGACUGGAGUACUGCAGGGGAGACUGGAAUUCCUGGUGUAGCGGUGGAAUGCGCAGAUAUCAGGAGGAACACCGGUGGCGAAGGCGGGUCUCUGGGCAGUAACUGACGCUGAGGAGCGAAAGCGUGGGGAGCGAACAGG
This 253-nucleotide ribosomal RNA is filed under the name uncultured bacterium. RNAcentral describes it as "partial 16S ribosomal RNA". It matches the Rfam family "Bacterial small subunit ribosomal RNA", at positions 524 to 776 of the family's 1533-position model. The record is from RNAcentral.